This 253-nucleotide ribosomal RNA is filed under the name uncultured bacterium. RNAcentral's name for it is "partial 16S ribosomal RNA". It matches the Rfam family "Bacterial small subunit ribosomal RNA", at positions 524 to 776 of the family's 1533-position model. The record is from RNAcentral.
UACGUAGGGUGCGAGCGUUGUCCGGAUUUAUUGGGCGUAAAGAGCGUGUAGGCGGCCAGGUAGGUCUGCUGUGAAAACUCGAGGCUCAACCUCGAGACGUCGGCGGAAACCAUCUGGCUAGAGUCCGGAAGAGGAGAGUGGAAUUCCUGGUGUAGCGGUGAAAUGCGCAGAUAUCAGGAGGAACACCAAUUGCGAAGGCAGCUCGCUGGGACGUUACUGACGCUGAGACGCGAAAGCGUGGGGAGCAAACAGG